Molecule: long non-coding RNA, 326 nt
Organism: Sphaeramia orbicularis (orbiculate cardinalfish)
Lineage: Eukaryota; Metazoa; Chordata; Actinopteri; Kurtiformes; Apogonidae
Exons: 3
Source: RefSeq, a predicted model, not a curated record
GCGUGGGAGCUAACAGUCUCAGGUAUGUCGCGCUCGCGUCGACCCCUGGCCGGAUCAGGACUACUGUCACCUUCCUGGAGCUUCGUGUGUUGAAGUCCUGUUAUCACCCGGACUGUCUCAGCAGGUUCACCUGAGAAGAAGCACCGGCUGGACAGGUGGAGCAGGACCGGCUGCAUUCCACUGUGCACUUAUGCAUCCGCCCGUGGCCACAGAAAACUAACCCAGGUGCCCUGUGUUAGUGUCUCAGUGACACCUACAGGUCCAGAUGUAAGAACAGAACUCACAGAGGUCAUCGAUACCAUUUUUGUGCCUUCUUUCUCAGGGAG